RNAcentral lists this ribosomal RNA (624 nucleotides) under Saccharopolyspora sp. J210. RNAcentral's name for it is "bacterial SSU rRNA". It matches the Rfam family "Bacterial small subunit ribosomal RNA", at positions 61 to 693 of the family's 1533-position model. Lineage: Bacteria; Bacillati; Actinomycetota; Actinomycetes; Pseudonocardiales; Pseudonocardiaceae. The record is from RNAcentral.
GUCGAACGCUGAAGCCCUUCGGGGUGGAUGAGUGGCGAACGGGUGAGUAACACGUGGGUAAUCUGCCCUGUACUCGGGGAUAAGCCUUGGAAACGAGGUCUAAUACCGGAUAGGACAUCUGGCCGCAUGGUCUGGGUGUGGAAAGUUCCGGCGGUAUGGGAUGAGCCCGCGGCCUAUCAGCUGGAUGGUGGGGUAAUGGCCUGCCAUGGCGACGACGGGUAGCCGGCCUGAGAGGGUGAUCGGCCACACUGGGACUGAGACACGGCCCAGACUCCUACGGGAGGCAGCAGUGGGGAAUCUUGCGCAAUGGGCGAAAGCCUGACGCAGCAACGCCGCGUGAGGGAGGACGGCCUUCGGGUUGUAAACCUCUUUCGACACCGACGAAGGCCCCGUGUGGGUGUGACGGUAGGUGUAGAAGAAGCACCGGCUAACUACGUGCCAGCAGCCGCGGUAAUACGUAGGGUGCGAGCGUUGUCCGGAUUUAUUGGGCGUAAAGAGCUCGUAGGCGGUUUGUCGCGUCGGCCGUGGAAACCUGCCGCUUAACGGUGGGCGUGCGGUCGAUACGGGCAAACUUGAGUUCGGUAGGGGAGACUGGAAUUCCUGGUGUAGCGGUGAAAUGCGCAG